AAUGAACGUUGGCGGCGUGGAUUAGGCAUGCAAGUCGAGCGAGAAUUUGCGAUUGGAAGCUUCGGCCGAAGAAAGUGAAGGAAAGCGGCAAACGGCGUAGUAAGGCGUAGGUACGUACCCUCGGGUCGGGAAUAGCCAUGGGAAACUGUGGGUAAUGCCCGAUAAUCUCUGCGGAGCAAAGGUGUGAUUCCGCCGGAGGAGCGGCUUACGUGAUAUUAGCUAGUUGGUGGGGUAAUGGCCUACCAAGGCAACGAUGUCUAGGGGGUGUGAGAGCAUGGCCCCCACGACCGGAACUGAGACACUGUCCGGACACCUACGGGUGGCUGCAGUCGAGAAUCUUCCGCAAUGGGCAAAGCCUGACGGAGCGACGCCGCGUGGUGGAUGAAGGCCCUUGGGUUGUAAACACCUGUCAGAGGGGAUGAAAUCAUGGUUGGCAAUCCUUCCAUGUUGACAGAGCCUCAGAGGAAGCACGGGCUAAGUACGUGCCAGCAGCCGCGGUAAAG
Molecule: ribosomal RNA, 503 nt
Filed under: uncultured bacterium
Lineage: Bacteria
Description: bacterial SSU rRNA
Rfam family: Bacterial small subunit ribosomal RNA
Source: RNAcentral